Molecule: small nucleolar RNA, 138 nt
Organism: Trichomycterus rosablanca
Lineage: Eukaryota; Metazoa; Chordata; Actinopteri; Siluriformes; Trichomycteridae
Product: small nucleolar RNA SNORA13
Exons: 1
Source: RefSeq, a predicted model, not a curated record
UGCCUUGGUGUUGCCCGUUCACGUAUCUUUGUGGUGGACGUGGUGUCAUGUAAGGCACACAGUAAAUCCACUCGGGGAAUCAACAAAAGCUUGGAGGUCUCACCGACUCCUGCUGCACCUCCCUCGAGAAGAACAUCU